AAAAAAUACAAAAACA
This 16-nucleotide small RNA is filed under the name Arabidopsis thaliana (thale cress). RNAcentral describes it as "ATSL234960". The record is from RNAcentral. Lineage: Eukaryota; Viridiplantae; Streptophyta; Magnoliopsida; Brassicales; Brassicaceae.